Juglans microcarpa x Juglans regia is the source of this 1101-nucleotide long non-coding RNA. RefSeq lists it as uncharacterized. The transcript is spliced from 3 exons. Lineage: Eukaryota; Viridiplantae; Streptophyta; Magnoliopsida; Fagales; Juglandaceae. The record is from RefSeq and is a predicted model, not a curated record.
CUCGCUAACGGUGCCGUUUGUGCGCGGUGGGAGAAACCUAAAUUCUUUUUCUCUUCCUUGCGCACCCCUUCUGCGCCGCACAGCCCCCUCCCCCUCAUCUCUCUAUCUUUCAGCCAUCUUCCCUCUCCGCCGUAGCCGUGCCCCACACCACUGUCAUCGGCGAUGUCUCAGGCAGCUACCCGUAAGGCUUCGUCCCUCUCUCUCUGACACCUUCUAACUCUUGCGAGGUUCCCUGUAGAAGUGUUGUUCCAGCAACCGCUCCGCUGCCACCUUCGUCGCUGUGAUGCGCCGCCUCUGCUCAUCACCGAACAACCUCAAGCCCCAGCAGAUGCCGCUCUCUCUGUCAUGCCCUUCUUACCGUAGGUCUGUCUCUCUCACUCUCCCUCUGUCUCGCAUCCUCUCUUCCCUCAGUCUAGACGUCGCCGCCAUCAACCACCGCAUCGUGACCAACAACCACCGCAAGUCGCACCCCAACUCCCUUUCUAUCUCACGGUACCCCACUUCCCUCCCCCGUUUCGCACAGUAACCACGUGGAGCCCUAAACGACGCCUCCUCUUCUCCUUGCCCGUUUCUCUCUCUUCUUUGUGUUUUGCCUCUAGCCGCGGUGCCUGGAUACACGUCAUUCUUCAUGGUUCUUAAUGCGCCGUUCUCCACAAUUCUGACUGUAGUUGCCAUGUGGUCAUCCAACCUCCCCCUCACAUUCUCCUCUUUGUUCGGCCCCUUAUCCUCCCAGAUUCACCCAACCCGAGUGUAGAUCCCCUUUUUGGGGUUCCGCUCCGCCACCCUCCGCCGCGAAACCUCCCACCUCCAUCCUUUAUCGCGACUGAUCUGCCACCCAUUAGAAUUUUCCCAGUCGUAGGCCCUUUAUUUCACCCAGAUCCGUCCUUGCCACUGUGCUCCGCCCCUACAGCCGCCACAACACGACAGACGCACUCACUCACUCGCGGGAUGCUUUCGUGAGCGCUCUCGAUCCUCCAGAAUUUUGGCCUUUCGCGUUUGGAUCCAGGAAACCAUGGCAAAAAAUGGAUUUGGGAAGGCCAUCUCUUCGAUGGUCAUUUACUUGAUGGAGCUUGAGAAGAUAUUUAGAGGUGACAUUCCAAU